Molecule: RNA transcript, 789 nt
Organism: Fragaria vesca subsp. vesca
Lineage: Eukaryota; Viridiplantae; Streptophyta; Magnoliopsida; Rosales; Rosaceae
Exons: 3
Source: RefSeq, a predicted model, not a curated record
GACCACCUCUUCUCUCCUCUCUCUCUUCUCUCAACUCUUCCCAAAAACAUAGAGAGACCAAACCACCGACAGUGAGUUUCUCCGGCCAUUUCUCUGCCAUCAGAUUUCUUCUCAACUGUGCAACUAUCUCUUUCUCUUCCUCUCCUUGCCUACAUCGCACCUGCAGUGGUUGCUCACUCAAUCAUCAAUUGAGGUACUCGAAUAGAGGCCGAGAAGCUCGGUGUGCACGGCCGGGUUUUGUGAGAUUUCCGGUGACUUUGACAACUGAUUCAUCUGCAUGUGGUAUGAAAAUUCACCCUCUUGUCGUGCUCUACGUUCUAGUAUAAUUAGUUUUUGGUUUCGAUUUAGUUUUGAUCAAGUUUGUGUGUCGGGUGUUUCCGAGCUUGGUCGAAAUUCAUUUUGCAUGGCGACCGUUCUGGGAAUCCUUGGUUCAUCUUCAACAUCUUGGAAAACGAGCUGGCUGUAGGACGAGUAUGAUAUCAUGGCUUGAGAAAGAGGGGGCCAAAACUAGCAAGUUGAAAACAAGAGCAGCAACCACGGUUUAAUCUUGAACUUGAUUUCAAGAAUCAGUGAAUUGAGGUAGGAGUGAGAAGAAGCUAAUGAUUUUAGCUUACUGUGUUAAUCGUCGACGGAGCUAGUUUCCUGGCAUUCGUUUGAUAUAAGUGAAGUCUAAACUGGCAAAUGAUAUGGAAGCCAAGGUUAAGGUGGCAUCGGUUCAUUGUGGCAGAGGGAUUGAGCAAGUCAUGUGUUUAUGAUUAUCCAAUGUUAACAAGGUACUUGCUGAAUAUA